GAUGAACGCUGGCGGUAUGCUUAACACAUGCAAGUCGAACGGGAAUCUUCGGAUUCUAGUGGCGGACGGGUGAGUAACGCGUAAGAAUCUAACUUCAGGACGGGGACAACAGUUGGAAACGACUGCUAAUACCCGAUAUGCCGCAAGGUGAAACCUAAUUGGCCUGGAGAAGAGCUUGCGCCUGAUUAGCUAGUUGGUGGGGUAAGAGCCUACCAAGGCGACGAUCAGUAGCUGGUCUGAGAGGAUGAGCAGCCACACUGGGACUGAGACACGGCCCAGACUCCUACGGGAGGCAGCAGUGGGGAAUUUUUCCGCAAUGGGCGAAAGCCUGACGGAGCAACGCCGCGUGAGGGAGGAAGGUCUUUGGAUUGUAAACCUCUUUUCUCAAGGAAGAAGUUCUGACGGUACUUGAGGAAUCAGCCUCGGCUAACUCCGUGCCAGCAGCCGCGGUAAU
Molecule: ribosomal RNA, 454 nt
Filed under: uncultured cyanobacterium
Lineage: Bacteria; Bacillati; Cyanobacteriota
Description: bacterial SSU rRNA
Rfam family: Bacterial small subunit ribosomal RNA
Source: RNAcentral